RNAcentral lists this ribosomal RNA (497 nucleotides) under uncultured bacterium. Its description in RNAcentral is "partial 16S ribosomal RNA". It matches the Rfam family "Bacterial small subunit ribosomal RNA", at positions 28 to 507 of the family's 1533-position model. The record is from RNAcentral.
GAUGAACGCUGGCGGCGUGCCUAAUACAUGCAAGUCGAGCGAACAGACGAGGAGCUUGCUCCUCUGACGUUAGCGGCGGACGGGUGAGUAACACGUGGAUAACCUACCUAUAAGACUGGGAUAACUUCGGGAAACCGGAGCUAAUACCGGAUAAUAUAUUGAACCGCAUGGUUCAAUAGUGAAAGACGGUUUUGCUGUCACUUAUAGAUGGAUCCGCGCCGCAUUAGCUAGUUGGUAAGGUAACGGCUUACCAAGGCAACGAUGCGUAGCCGACCUGAGAGGGAGAUCGGCAACACGCGAACAGCGAGACGGUACAGAGCCCUACGGGAGGCAGCAGUAGGGAAUCUUCCGCAAUGGGCGAAAGGAUGAGAGAGCAAUGACGCGUGAAUGAUAAAGUACUAAGGAGCAAAAACAUCUGUUAUUAGGGAAUAACAAUUGUGUAAGUAAAUAUACAAGUCUUGACGGUACCUAAUCAGAAAGCCACGGGUAACUACGUG